Small nucleolar RNA from Urocitellus parryii (Arctic ground squirrel), 94 nucleotides. RefSeq annotates it as small nucleolar RNA SNORA71. The record is from RefSeq and is a predicted model, not a curated record. NCBI's taxonomy places the organism in Eukaryota, Metazoa, Chordata, Mammalia, Rodentia, Sciuridae.
CCCUGUAUUCGAAAGUGAUCAUGGGCUACCCGUGCCCUGGUCAUUGAUAGUGCAGGGAGAGGAAUUGCUGAAAGCGUUUCCCCGUGUUUGGAGG